This 73-nucleotide transfer RNA is filed under the name bacterium HR34. Its description in RNAcentral is "tRNA-Thr". It matches the Rfam family "tRNA". From Rfam's summary of the family: Transfer RNA (tRNA) molecules are approximately 80 nucleotides in length. Their secondary structure includes four short double-helical elements and three loops (D, anti-codon, and T loops). The record is from RNAcentral.
GCCGGAGUAGCUCAGCGGCAGAGCAAUCGCUUCGUAAGCGAUAGGUCGCGGGUUCAAAUCCCGCCUCCGGCUC